This 299-nucleotide unclassified non-coding RNA is filed under the name Hevea brasiliensis (rubber tree). The record is from RNAcentral. Lineage: Eukaryota; Viridiplantae; Streptophyta; Magnoliopsida; Malpighiales; Euphorbiaceae.
GGAGAAUUUUUUUUUUUCCUAUAUAAGCGCAACAAUCUUCAUGUGAGCCUCCAUAAUCCCCUUUCUCUCUUCGCUGCUCUCAAGGUCAAGGAGCCCUCCGUUAAUACACUGUUUCUCUUCUCCAUCUAUUUCCUUCUUUGCCUGAAACUUCUAAAUCUCUGUACAAAGAGAAUUGCUGCUUCUGUUUUUUCUAUUUGAUUUCUUUUAGUUUUGCUGCUGUUGUUUCGAGGAGGAAUUCGACAGGCGAAAAAAAAUGGCAAAGAAUGUGGGAAUUCUCGCUAUGGACAUCUAUUUCCCUC